RNAcentral lists this ribosomal RNA (484 nucleotides) under uncultured bacterium. RNAcentral describes it as "bacterial SSU rRNA". It matches the Rfam family "Bacterial small subunit ribosomal RNA", at positions 28 to 496 of the family's 1533-position model. The record is from RNAcentral.
GAUGAACGCUAGCGGCAGGCUUAAUACAUGCAAGUCGAGGGGCAUCAAGGUACACGAAAGUGUAUUGUUGGCGACCGGCGGACGGGUGAGUAAUAGGUAGGUAACCUACCUCAUACUGAGGCAUAGCUGGGAGAAAUUCCAGGUAAUCCCUCAUGAGGUUAUAUGACACAUGUGAUAUAAUCAAAGGUAUCGCAAGGUACUGGUAUGAGAUGGGCUUACUGACCAUUAGCUAGUUGGUGAGAUAAGAGCUCACCAAGGCGAAGAUGGUUAGGGGUUUUGAGAGAGAGAUCCCCCACAUUGGAACUGAGAUACGGUCCAGACUCCUACGGGAGGCAGCAGUAGGGAAUAUUGGGCAAUGGGCGGAAGCCUGACCCAGCCAUGCCGCGUGAAGGAAGACGGCCUUAUGGGUUGUAAACUUCUUUACUAUGCGACUAACUAGAUUUACGAGAUAAUUCUAUAGAAUGUAGCAUAGCAAAAGCACCGG